CCAAAGAUAUCUCUAUACCAGCAGUAAAGCUGUGGAGGAAGGACAGAGUGAGUCACGGGAAAGAAUAUCCUAGCCACCCAGUUCAGUUUUACAAUUGUGUGGUAGGUUGGAACUCUGCACAGAGGUCAGAGUUAGAGAGAGAUGGAUUGACUGAUUUAUCUGUAUGGAAGUGAGUGGGAAGGCAGCGGCAGAUCUUCUGAGGGCAUGCUUUUCUGCUUUACAACUCACAUUUUGUUGGUGGCUGGCUGUGUCUUCGAAAACAGAUCACACCGUUCUGGGGCACAAUUCUAGAUGUCCUUUUGUCUUCUUCCCCUUUCAAAGAUCGCCUGAGUCCUAUUUUCCGCUAGGGGUCGCCCUGACCUCCUGCCUCUUAUUUCAAAGCCAGUAAGAGUGGGUUGAGUCCUUCUCACUCCACCCUCUUCUUUGGUUUACCUCUUCUACUUGUAAGGACCGUUGUAAUUACAUUGGAUUCACCUGGAUAACCCAGAAUGAUCUCCCUAUUUUAAGGUCAGUUGAUUAACAAACUUAAUUUCAUCUCCAACUUUAAUUCUCCUUUGCCAUGUAAUUUAACAUAGUCACAGGUUCUAGGAAUUAGGAUGCGGUGGAAAGGUAUUUUUGCACCAGUUGCAAAUGACUUAAUUAUCAGUUUCACUUGAUUAUCAGAAAUCAACUCAUUUCGUUAUCAAAGUUAUUUGCUGUUCUUUGCUAAUUCAUUUGAAACUGGAAUCCUGAGUAGUGCUCAUUUGGACUAAAGCUCCAUGGUUCUACCCACUUGCUUUGGUUGUACUGUUGAGAGCAGAAACUUCAAAUCCAGGAUCUGUUAUUCUCUAGGGAGUCCCCUAAUUCAUUCUGUUUCUUCCUGGAGGAGUUGCAAAAGGGAGCCCGCACUGGGUGGAGCAAUUAGAAAGUGGUUCCAGGACUCGGGUUUGGUCAGAAGUUAAAGGAUAGAUUUCAGCACCACCACAGCAGGGUACAAUCUACACACAGUAGCCCUUCUACCUCACAGUUUCUAUAUACUGUGCCCCAUGCUUUCAGCCUCUGCCUUAAACAUUUAUUUGCUCUAAGCUUCUAAAGUGUAACCUGUGUCUUAGGAAGUCCCUUUAGGGCUUAGCUUAGAGCUGAGCACGGGGUAAACUCUGGACCCUGUCCUGCUGUGAUCUGUGAGUGACAAUACAAAACCACACCCUCAUUUUAGACAAAAUUUAAGCAUUUUAAAAUAAUAGUUAUAGAUUGCUAGCUACUUAAGAUGAUUUAUG
Molecule: long non-coding RNA, 1256 nt
Filed under: Callithrix jacchus (white-tufted-ear marmoset)
Lineage: Eukaryota; Metazoa; Chordata; Mammalia; Primates; Cebidae
Description: lncRNA (ENSCJAG00000082818.1)
Source: RNAcentral